UUAGAGUUUGAUCCUGGCUCAAGAUGAUUUUUAGCGGCAGGCUUAACACAUGCAAGUCGAGGGGCAGCAUGUCCAGCAAUGGAUGAUGGCGACCGGCGGAAGAGUGCGUAACGCGUGAGCAACAUGCCCUAUACAGGGAGAUACACCAGGGAAACUUGGUCUAAUAUCCCAUAUCAUUCAUUGAAGGCAUCUUUAAUGAAUUAAAGCUUCGGUGGUAUAGGAUUGGCUCGCGUGACAUUAGCCAGAUGGUGAGGUAACGGCUCACCAUAGCAAUGAUGUCUAGGGGUUUUGAGAGGAACGCCCCCCACACUGGGACUGAGACACGGCCCACACUCCUACGGGAGGCAGCAGUGAGGAAUAUUGGACAAUGGAUGGAAAUCUGAUCCAGCCAUGCCGCGUGCAGGAAGACGGCCUUAUGGGUUGUAAACUGCUUUUAUACGGGAGCAAUAAGGGUUACGAGUAAUCCGAUGAGAGUACUGUAUGAAUAAGGAUCGGCUAACUACGUGCCAGCAGCCGCGGUAAGACGUAGGGGGCGAGCGUUGUCCGGAAUUACUGGGCGUAAAGAGCACGUAGGCGGAGACUUAAGUCAGAUGUGAAAGACCGGGGCUCAACCCCGGGGUUGCAUUUGAAACUGGGUCCCUUGAGGGCAGGAGAGGAAAGUAGAAUUCCUGGUGUAGCGGUGAAAUGCGUAGAAAUCAGGAGGAAUACCAGUGGCGAAGGCGACUUUCUGGACUGACCCUGACGCUGAGGUGCGAAAGCGUGGGUAGCAAACAGGAUUAGAUACCCUGGUAGUCCACGCCGUAAACGAUGGAUACUAGGUGUGGGAGGUAUCGACCCCUUCCGUGCCGGAGUUAACACAAUAAGUAUCCCGCCUGGGGAGUACGGUCGCAAGGCUGAAACUCAAAAGAAUUGACGGGGCCCCGCACAAGCGGUGGAGCAUGUGGUUUAAUUCGAUGCAACGCGAAGAACCUUACCAGGUCUUGACAUCCUACGGAUCUGUCUGAAAGGACGGAGUGCCUUCGGGAGCGUAGAGACAGGUGGUGCAUGGUUGUCGUCAGCUCGUGUCGUGAGAUGUUGGGUUAAGUCCCGCAACGAGCGCAACCCUUGCUAUUAGUUGCUAACAUUAAGAUGAGCACUCUAAUGGGACUGCCGGUGACAAGCCGGAGGAAGGUGGGGAUGACGUCAAAUCAUCAUGCCCUUUAUGACCUGGGCUACACACGUGCUACAAUGGAUGGUACAGAGAGCAGCAAGUCCGCGAGGCGAAGCGAAUCUCAAAAAGCCAUUCUCAGUUCGGAUUGGAGUCUGCAACUCGGCUCCAUGAAGUCGGAAUCGCUAGUAAUCGCGGAUCAGCUUGCCGCGGUGAAUACGUUCCCGGGUCUUGUACACACCGCCCGUCAAG
Molecule: ribosomal RNA, 1399 nt
Filed under: uncultured bacterium
Lineage: Bacteria
Description: partial 16S ribosomal RNA
Rfam family: Bacterial small subunit ribosomal RNA
Source: RNAcentral